This 73-nucleotide transfer RNA is filed under the name Nicotiana sylvestris (wood tobacco). It matches the Rfam family "tRNA". From Rfam's summary of the family: Transfer RNA (tRNA) molecules are approximately 80 nucleotides in length. Lineage: Eukaryota; Viridiplantae; Streptophyta; Magnoliopsida; Solanales; Solanaceae. The record is from Rfam by way of RNAcentral.
GCGUCUGUAGCUCAGUGGAUAGAUCGCCUGUUUUCUAAGUUGAAGGUCAUAGGUUCGACCCCUACUUGGUGCG